GUGAGGAAUAUUGGUCAAUGGGCGAGAGCCUGAACCAGCCAAGUAGCGUGAAGGAUGACUGCCCUAUGGGUUGUAAACUUCUUUUAUAAAGGAAUAAAGUCGGGUAUGCAUACCCGUUUGCAUGUACUUUAUGAAUAAGGAUCGGCUAACUCCGUGCCAGCAGCCGCGGUAAUACGGAGGAUCCGAGCGUUAUCCGGAUUUAUUGGGUUUAAAGGGAGCGUAGAUGGAUGUUUAAGUCAGUUGUGAAAGUUUGCGGCUCAACCGUAAAAUUGCAGUUGAUACUGGAUAUCUUGAGUGCAGUUGAGGCAGGCGGAAUUCGUGGUGUAGCGGUGAAAUGCUUAGAUAUCACGAAGAACUCCGAUUGCGAAGGCAGCCUGCUAAGCUGCAACUGACAUUGAGGCUCGAAAGUGUGGGUAUCAAACAGGAUUAGAUACCCCGGUAGUCC
Molecule: ribosomal RNA, 445 nt
Filed under: uncultured bacterium
Lineage: Bacteria
Description: partial 16S ribosomal RNA
Rfam family: Bacterial small subunit ribosomal RNA
Source: RNAcentral